Equus caballus (horse) is the source of this 1682-nucleotide non-coding RNA. Lineage: Eukaryota; Metazoa; Chordata; Mammalia; Perissodactyla; Equidae. The record is from RefSeq and is a predicted model, not a curated record.
GACAACAUCCUCCCUUCGAAUUGCUAUUUAAUUUUAAUAAAUAACAGCUAACAAUUAUUGAGUGCUUCCAGGUACAAAGAUGAUUUACGUUACCUCACAUUUUACAACAAAAGUAUGAGGUCCACUCUGUUAGUCCCACUCUUCUUAAGGCAAAAUGGAGGCUUAGGGAGGUUACAGAAUUCAUAUGAAGCCACCCAGCUGGUUGCCAGGCCCAGGGCUCUUUACUUUUAUUCUGUGCAGGCUUCCUCUUUUUCCGAAAAGGCAGUGGGACAAUCUCCCAUUUUGUCUUUCCUGCUGCAGAAGACAGCAACACGGUCCAAUAUGUAGGAAGGGUUUGUUGAUUACCACCUGGGAGACUGAGGUAACAAAACACAACAUGUGGGUUAGCAGCGUUGCCGAAGCUUAUAAAGGAUCUGAGAAUCUGCUGGAGCCCCCUGCUUCCAUUUAGAAACCGCUUUCCUCCAGGCCCUCAGGCCCCAGGACGCCCUUACCCCUGGCCGGUUGAAGGGUCAGCUAGGAAAAUACAGCGAGGAAGGGAUAAUACCACCCUCCGGCCGGAAGGGAGAGAGUAAUUUGCAUCUCAGAGGAGCUCAGGUCUCCAUGCCCAGUUUGGACCCUGGCAGUAAUGGUCUGAUCCGGGAAUUUCCUGUGACUUGUGGAGGUUUGCGGCUCGAAGCCAUAAGGACUUUCUAACAUUCAUGUCCACUUAAUUCAGGAAUCUACAAAGGCAGGCAUUUGUCGAGCUCCUCUCAAUUUUCCUGACCUGCUUCCAACCUUUGACAUGGAGGGUCCAACAUCUCAAGAUCCCUCUGGUGCUUGUGGGUAAACAGGUGACGGUACUAAGAGGCCCAUAGAAUGAGGUAGAAGGGAAACAUUGGUAAAUCUAGUUGUUGGGUUUUCCUCUUUUUUUUUCAUUUUAAUUUCAAUGUGUGUAUUCUCAACUUUUCAAUUAGACUUAGAAAAACUUUGUUGAAGUAUCACUGACAUUCAACAACUUUCUCAAUUUUGGAUGAAGCGAGAAACCCAGGAAAAGUUUCGGGGCAUUUAAGGACACAAGUGAUGGGUAGAUUUGGUGUUUGGAAUAAAGCCUGGAGCCACACACAAAUACAUUCAGGUGGAUGAAUAAAGAUCCCAGGGUGGAGAAACUAGCAAUAUGAAUGCCUUGGAGGUCCGUUUCACGCAGCCCAGUGUAAUAACAAACACGAGUUCUUGACCCUGUGUUGUCACUGACCAGCUGCAGGGCUCAGCCAAGCUCCUGGGGUCCAGUAUUUAAAAUAUUUGAAUUAUAUCUUCAUCUUGUGCCGACAGAAAAAAAUUUUCCAAAGACUGGAAAAGUGACUCAAUUCAAAUGUAUGAAACCAUUUGUAACUGAAAAGGGGUGUCAUUGAGACAUCUGCGGCAAGGCAUGACAAAGUAUACUGACCUUCUGGGAAGAAAGACUACAUUAAAUAGUAGGGAUUAACAUUUUUUUAAAAACUUAUACAACAUAACAAGGUAAGGAACAAAAUCAAAGCAAAACAUUAAGUAGAUUUUAUAACCAAAAGAGGGGUUGCACUGGCCUAAUAAAUCAGAACAGUAAAGAGAUAAAAGGAGAUAAGAAUCAUGUUCAAAAGGAACUUUAAAAGCACAGCUGAAAUUGGGCCCCUUUUAUUAAGAAGAAAUACAGAACUUAGUUCUUAAAC